RNAcentral lists this ribosomal RNA (251 nucleotides) under uncultured bacterium. RNAcentral describes it as "partial 16S ribosomal RNA". It matches the Rfam family "Bacterial small subunit ribosomal RNA", at positions 525 to 775 of the family's 1533-position model. The record is from RNAcentral.
ACGUAGGGGGCAAGCGUUAUCCGGAUUUACUGGGUGUAAAGGGAGCGUAGACGGCAGUGCAAGUCUGAAGUGAAAGCCCGGGGCUCAACCCCGGGACUGCUUUGGAAACUGUGCAGCUGGAGUGUCGGAGAGGCAAGCGGAAUUCCUAGUGUAGCGGUGAAAUGCGUAGAUAUUAGGAGGAACACCAGUGGCGAAGGCGGCUUGCUGGACGAUGACUGACGUUGAGGCUCGAAAGCGUGGGGAGCAAACAG